GUAGGUGGCAAGCGUUGUCCGGAAUUAUUGGGCGUAAAGCGCGCGCAGGCGGUCCUUUAAGUCUGAUGUGAAAGCCCACGGCUCAACCGUGGAGGGUCAUUGGAAACUGGGGGACUUGAGUACAGAAGAGGAAAGCGGAAUUCCAAGUGUAGCGGUGAAAUGCGUAGAGAUUUGGAGGAACACCAGUGGCGAAGGCGGCUUUCUGGUCUGUAACUGACGCUGAGGCGCGAGAGCGUGGGGAGCAAACAGGGAUUAGAUACCCUGGUAGUCCACGCCGUAAACGAUGAGUGCUAAGUGUUAGGGGGUUUCCCGCCCCUUAGUGCUGCAGCUAACGCAUUAAGCACUCCGCCUGGGGAGUACGGCCGCAAGGCUG
RNAcentral lists this ribosomal RNA (373 nucleotides) under uncultured organism. Its description in RNAcentral is "partial 16S ribosomal RNA". It matches the Rfam family "Bacterial small subunit ribosomal RNA", at positions 527 to 896 of the family's 1533-position model. The record is from RNAcentral.